ACAAACACUGUUGUGUUCGUGCGAACCAGGGGAGGAAGAAAGGGGAGCCAAAAACCCUAACUGCUAGAUAUCAAGAAAUUGAAGCCUAAAUCACAAGAAAAUUCGAUGCAUGGGUCCUCUUUUUCGAAAAUCUAACCCUAACUAAUGAAGUGGAACGUGUCAAGGAGAGCUCAAGCAUAGGAGGAUAACGGGUCAAGAUAAGGCAAGGUGACAAAUACACUUAUUGGAAUACUCAAGGUAAGUGAUUUCUAUAAUCACUUCUUUAGUUGUUUAAGUAAUAUAAAGUUUUAAUUAUUAAGUUCAUAUAAAGUGGAGGUUAAAUCAAUGGAUUAUUUUGAUAAAUGCACGAAUGGGUCGAAUAAUUCAUAGAUGAAUAACAAGCCGAAUACGUAUAAGUUAAGAAAUUCCUUAACUCGGAUGUUGGACUUCAAGAUCACGUGAUAGAAUAUUAAAUUACAAUCAUAUAGGAAGAAACGUGACGCAAAACGGACGAAAAAUGAGAGAGUUAUGUCCGUUUCAGUAAGGAUUAAUGGCUAGGAAAAGUGCAGAGUUGACACGGCCGGGUGGUGAACUGACACGGCCGGGUGAAGGUUCUGUCAAAAAUUUUAUUUAUGUGAUUUAUGCGCCGUAGGCUUCGGUAUAUUAUCCGUGAACUACGACGGGCCUCCCAAACAUGAUUUCGAGUGUUUCCUUGACGAUUAUAAGUUGUAAACCCAAGUCUAAGCCUCAUGUAAUUUAUAUAAGAGUGUGAUAGAUGUAUGUAAUGAAGUUGGACAUGUAUUACAUGUAAAUGUAUACAAAAAUACGUACGGAACACGUAGGUAUGAAUAUAUGAUUGUAGGUAUGAUUAAACGUAUAUUAGGUAUGUAGAUGUGUAUGAUUGUAAGUUUGUAUGUGUGCAAGUAUGUGCGAAUGCAUGAUUUGGAUGCAUUUGAGAAUUAGCGUUACUAAUAAUGCCCUUGGGUUUGGAAUGUACGUUGAUUGGAUGCAUUUAAAUGGUUAACGUCCUUUUUAUGAAGAUGUAGUAAAUGAAUAUGUUGAGAUUACGGGUUUGGCUAACCAAGUUAUUAUUGAGUAUGUUUGAAAGUGCAGGUUAUGAAUGUCGGACUUUCGAAGUGUUGAUAUAAUAAUGAAACGGUUGAAUGUUGAAAGGAUAAUCGGAUUGAAGUAACUUAUGCGGCCAAGAGCACGCGGGUUAUGUGAAGGGUAAGCGCAAUUGUUCGGAAGGAGUGAUCCGUGAAUGCGGUCUAGGACCGGCAUCAAGGCAAGUAAUAAGACGAAUUGACCCCUGGUACGUAUACUCAACGCGUGAUGUAUGAAAUAGUAUAAUUAGGCAAGUGAAAGAAAAAUCUAAAUGAAUAUAACAACGACAUGGUAAAGGAGUUUUAAAAAUGUAACACGUGCCGAAACUUAAUUCUUCGGGCAUAAUGUGGCGAUUACGCGAAGACACGAAACUAGUACGUGGAUUGUGUACCUGGCCAGUACAUAAGAAACGUAUGACGUUCGUGAGACCGCGAUAAUUGUUACAUGUAUGUCCGUUAGAAUUGGGUAGCAGGUGGGCGUACGGGUGAAACGAGUAGUAAGACUCUCGGGAGAUUGAGAGUACUACGUA
Molecule: long non-coding RNA, 1612 nt
Filed under: Helianthus annuus (common sunflower)
Lineage: Eukaryota; Viridiplantae; Streptophyta; Magnoliopsida; Asterales; Asteraceae
Description: hypothetical non coding rna
Source: RNAcentral